Molecule: ribosomal RNA, 240 nt
Filed under: uncultured bacterium
Lineage: Bacteria
Description: partial 16S ribosomal RNA
Rfam family: Bacterial small subunit ribosomal RNA
Source: RNAcentral
UACGUAGGGUGCAAGCGUUAAUCGGAAUUACUGGGCGUAAAGCGUGCGCAGGCGGUUUUGUAAGUCUGUCGUGAAAUCCCCGGGCUCAACCUGGGAAUGGCGAUGGAGACUGCAAGGCUAGAGUUUGGCAGAGGGGGGUAGAAUUCCACGUGUAGCAGUGGAAAGUGCGUAGAUAUGUGGAGGAACACCGAUGGCGAAGGCAGCCCCCUGGGUCAAGACUGACGCCUCGAUGCACGAAAG